Molecule: long non-coding RNA, 1110 nt
Organism: Acanthopagrus latus (yellowfin seabream)
Lineage: Eukaryota; Metazoa; Chordata; Actinopteri; Spariformes; Sparidae
Exons: 4
Source: RefSeq, a predicted model, not a curated record
UGUAAACGUAAAUGUAAAGGAAGUGGAACCAUUUAACAUGCAGCCAGCUCACAGAGGCAGCAGAUACUAAAUACUGUGUUCUGUCUUUCCACCCUCACUGUGACACACACACUUCAGUUAUACAGUGUGUGUGUGUGUGUGUGUGUGUGUGAGUGUGUGUGUGUGUUUGAUUCAGAUGUGACUGUGCCACCUAAAUCAUGUAGGCGCUGCAGCAGAGUGUCAGAUAUCGACGCCAUGGCAACAACACAAAGCUGCCUGGUUACAUAAAGACGAUCAGAGUUUCAGAGUGAAAAGACAAACUGAUCAAAAACCGACUCAGACUCACCUGAGCGGCUGCCGCCUUCAUCGGAGCUGGACCGAGCUGAUCUCAGACCCCAUUUAGCCCCUUUUCCCGCGUGGCGAAUGGAUCGGAUAACAAUCAGAUUAUUUAAAAGAGUCGAGCGCAGACGGAUCCAAGAAGCAGCAAAGACGGAAUGUGAAAAUCCGAGACUUACUCUGGACAAAUGCUUUAAAGAUGUAAAUGCAUCCGCCUGUGAAAGGUGCAUUUGUUAUGUUCACCUUUCAAAGUGUGAUUAUAUCAGUGACAGAUGUGUGGGAGCAGCCUUGACAUCAGGAGGCAGCCUUCUGUGGCUCUUUGUAGACUUCAGCUGAAAGGGGAUACGUUCAUUUUCACCAAUUCGAACGCGUGAGGACCGCUGUGUCAGCCAUGUUCACCUGCAGCACUAAAGAACAACAGAAACAGAAAAAAAGAGCGCGAGUGUCUGAACAUCGUUACUGACCUGCUGCCUGAAAUCUGCUGGACUUGUUCAUCUUGCUGCUGGUUCAUCAGGCUGUUUUUAGCAGUUAGCAACAAGUGAAAAUAUCUGUCCAGAGCGGCCCGAGGGCAGCAGAGAGAAAACCAGAACACAUUCUCUAUUUUCUCCACAGAAAAAAAAAUCCUCAGUUUCACCCAAAUCACUGAGUGAAGUUAUCAAGAGUCUCUGCAGCCGCUCGCUUUUUAGCGUCUCGAGGGUCCGCAGCCGUCCGGAUGAGGCUGCUUCUUCAUCCCCCGGAGCUAAAACAGACUUCUCCUAUUCUCCGACAGAGUUCACUGCCACUGAAGAAGAAUUU